GGUAUGUUAGUGGCGAACGGGUGAGGAAUACAUGGAUAACGUGCCCCGGACACGGGAAUAGCGGCGUCUCCCGAGCGAUCGGGAGACUUUGCGAAAGUGCCGGUAAUACCCGAUGACCCCGCAGCGCCUCAUGGCGCAGCGGGCAAAGUUCCGGCGGUCUGGGAUCGGUUCAUGUCCUAUCAGCUUGUUGGUGGGGUAACGGCCCACCAAGGCGGCGACGGGUAGCGGGCGUGAGAGCGUGACCCGCCACAUCGGGACUGAGACACUGCCCGGACACCUACGGGUGGCUGCAGCAACGAAUAUUCCGCAAUGGACGAAAGUCUGACGGAGCGACGCCGCGUGCAGGAAGAAGUCCUUCGGGAUGUAAACUGCUGUCAGGGGUUAGGAAUACUGACCAGCCCCACAGGAAGCACUGGCUAACUCCGUGCCAGCAGCCGCGGUAAUACGGAGAGUGCAAGCGUUGUUCGGAAUUACUGGGCUUAAAGAGCGUGUAGGCGGGGAUGCAAGUGUCGGGUGAAAGCCCUCGGCUCAACCGAGGAACGGCUCGGCAAACUGCAUCUCUUGAGGCAGGUAGAGGUGAGUGGAACGACUGGUGGAGCGGUGAAAUGCG
Molecule: ribosomal RNA, 610 nt
Filed under: uncultured bacterium
Lineage: Bacteria
Description: bacterial SSU rRNA
Rfam family: Bacterial small subunit ribosomal RNA
Source: RNAcentral